GAUGAAGAACGCAGCGAAAUGCGAUACGUAAUGUGAAUUGCAAAUUCAGUGAAUCAUCGAGUCUUUGAACGCACAUUGCGCCCCCUGGUAUUCCGCGGGGCAUGCCUGUCCGAGCGUCAUUGCUGCCCUCAAGCACGGCUUGUGUGUUGGGCCCCGUCCUCCGAUCCCGGGGGACGGGCCCGAAAGGCAGCGGCGGCACCGCGUCCGGUCCUCGAGCGUAUGGGGCUUUGUCACCCGCUCUGUAGGCCCGGCCGGCGCUUGCCGAUCAACCCAAAUUUUUAUCCAGGUUGACCUCGGAUCAGGUAGGGAUACCCGCUGAACUUAAGCAUAUCAAUAAGCGGAGGA
Molecule: unclassified non-coding RNA, 345 nt
Filed under: soil metagenome
Description: partial contains 5.8S ribosomal RNA, internal transcribed spacer 2, and large subunit ribosomal RNA
Rfam family: 5.8S ribosomal RNA (bases 1-119)
Source: RNAcentral